RNAcentral lists this ribosomal RNA (292 nucleotides) under uncultured bacterium. RNAcentral's name for it is "partial 16S ribosomal RNA". It matches the Rfam family "Bacterial small subunit ribosomal RNA", at positions 505 to 796 of the family's 1533-position model. The record is from RNAcentral.
GUGUCAGCCGCCGCGGUAAUACGAAGGUCCCGAGCGUUGUUCGGAAUCACUGGGCGUAAAGGGAGCGUAGGCGGCGUGGUAAGUCAGAUGUGAAAUCCCGGGGCUCAACCCCGGAACUGCAUCCGAUACUGCCGUGCUAGAGGAUUGGAGAGGUAGCUGGAAUUCUUGGUGUAGCAGUGAAAUGCGUGGAUAUCAAGAGGAACACUCGUGGCGAAAGCGAGCUACUGGACAACUCCUGACGCUGAGGCUCGAAGGCCAGGGUAGCGAAAGGGAUUAGAUACCCCCGUAGUCC